Molecule: transfer RNA, 61 nt
Filed under: Escherichia coli
Lineage: Bacteria; Pseudomonadati; Pseudomonadota; Gammaproteobacteria; Enterobacterales; Enterobacteriaceae
Also listed under: 9 other names
Description: tRNA-Arg
Rfam family: tRNA
About the family: Transfer RNA (tRNA) molecules are approximately 80 nucleotides in length. Their secondary structure includes four short double-helical elements and three loops (D, anti-codon, and T loops).
Source: RNAcentral
GUAGCUCAGCUGGAUAGAGUACUCGGCUACGAACCGAGCGGUCGGAGGUUCGAAUCCUCCC